CGGGGGGCAGCAGUAAGGAAUAUUGGGCAAUGGACGCAAGUCUGACCCAGCCAUGCCGCGUGAAGGAUGACGGUCCUCUGGAUUGUAAACUUCUUUUAUCUGGGGCGAAAACCACCCUUUCUAGGGUAUUUGACAGUACCAGAUGAAUAAGCACCGGCUAACUCCGUGCCAGCAGCCGCGGUAAUACGGAGGGUGCAAGCGUUAUCCGGAUUCACUGGGUUUAAAGGGUGCGUAGGCGGGCAGGUAAGUCAGUGGUGAAAUCUUCGAGCUUAACUCGGAAACUGCCGUUGAUACUAUCUGUCUUGAAUUUAGUGGAGGUAAGCGGAAUAUGUCAUGUAGCGGUGAAAUGCUUAGAUAUGACAUAGAACACCAAUUGCGAAGGCAGCUUGCUACACUAUUAUUGACGCUGAGGCACGAAAGCGUGGGGAUCAAACAGGAUUAGAUACCCGAGU
Molecule: ribosomal RNA, 452 nt
Filed under: uncultured Chitinophagaceae bacterium
Lineage: Bacteria; Pseudomonadati; Bacteroidota; Chitinophagia; Chitinophagales; Chitinophagaceae
Description: bacterial SSU rRNA
Rfam family: Bacterial small subunit ribosomal RNA
Source: RNAcentral